Molecule: ribosomal RNA, 625 nt
Filed under: Saccharomycetes sp.
Lineage: Eukaryota; Fungi; Ascomycota; Saccharomycetes
Description: eukaryotic LSU rRNA
Rfam family: Eukaryotic large subunit ribosomal RNA
Source: RNAcentral
UUAUAUACAAUAGCGGAGGAAAAGAAAAUAUUUUGGAAUUCCCCAGCGGAGGAAAAGAAACCAACAGGGAUUCCCUUAGAAGCUGCGAGUGUAGCGGCUAAAGCUCAAAUUUGAAAUCUGGCACCUUCGGUGUCCGAGUUGUAAUUUGAAGAUUGUAACCUCGGGGUUGGCUCUAGUGUAUGUUUCUUGUAACAGGACGUCAUAGACGGUGAGAAUCCCGUGGGUUGAGAUGCCCAGUCUUAUGUAAGAUGCUUUCGAAGAGUGGAGUGGUAAGGGAAUGCAGAUCUAAAUGGGUGGUAAAUUCCAUUUAAAGACAAAUAUCGGGGAGAGACGGAUAGAGAACAAGUACAAUGAGGGAAAGACGAAAAGAAAUUUGAAAAAAGAGAGAAAAAGUACGUGAAAUCGUUGAAAGGGAGAGGGUUUGAGAUCAGACUGGAUAUUUUGUGAGCCUGCCGUUCGUGGCGGGGUGACCCGCGGGUAAUAGGGCCAGGAUAGGUUGGGGUCGGUAGGAUAAGGAUGUAGGAAUGUGAGUAUGCUUCGCUGAAGUGUGAUGACCGGAGCGCUCCUGCCGUCCUAGAUCUUGGGAUCACGUCUGUUCAUAGUGCAUGCCAAUCGAUCAGAAAGU